RNAcentral lists this ribosomal RNA (162 nucleotides) under Oreocharis auricula. RNAcentral's name for it is "5.8S ribosomal RNA". It matches the Rfam family "5.8S ribosomal RNA". Rfam says of the family: 5.8S ribosomal RNA (5.8S rRNA) is a component of the large subunit of the eukaryotic ribosome. It is transcribed by RNA polymerase I as part of the 45S precursor that also contains 18S and 28S rRNA. Functionally, it is thought that 5.8S rRNA may be involved in ribosome translocation. Lineage: Eukaryota; Viridiplantae; Streptophyta; Magnoliopsida; Lamiales; Gesneriaceae. The record is from RNAcentral.
AACGACUCUCGGCAACGGAUAUCUCGGCUCUCGCAUCGAUGAAGAACGUAGCGAAAUGCGAUACUUGGUGUGAAUUGCAGAAUCCCGUGAACCAUCGAGUCUUUGAACGCAAGUUGCGCCUGAAGCCAUCAGGCUGAAGGCACGUCUGCCUGGGCGUCACGC